CGGUAGCUAAUACCGCAUAACGUCGCAAGACCAAAGAGGGGGACCUUCGGGCCUCUUGCCAUCGGAUGUGCCCAGAUGGGAUUAGCUAGUAGGUGGGGUAACGGCUCACCUAGGCGACGAUCCCUAGCUGGUCUGAGAGGAUGACCAGCCACACUGGAACUGAGACACGGUCCAGACUCCUACGGGAGGCAGCAGUGGGGAAUAUUGCACAAUGGGCGCAAGCCUGAUGCAGCCAUGCCGCGUGUAUGAAGAAGGCCUUCGGGUUGUAAAGUACUUUCAGCGGGGAGGAAGGGAGUAAAGUUAAUACCUUUGCUCAUUGACGUUACCCGCAGAAGAAGCACCGGCUAACUCCGUGCCAGCAGCCGCGGUAAUACGGAGGGUGCAAGCGUUAAUCGGAAUUACUGGGCGUAAAGCGCACGCAGGCGGUUUGUUAAGUCAGAUGUGAAAUCCCCGGGCUCAACCUGGGAACUGCAUCUGAUACUGGCAAGCUUGAGUCUCGUAGAGGGGGGGUAGAAUUCCAGGUGUAGCGGUGAAAUGCGUAGAGAUCUGGAGGAAUACCGGGUGGCGAAAGGCGG
RNAcentral lists this ribosomal RNA (575 nucleotides) under bacterium. RNAcentral describes it as "bacterial SSU rRNA". It matches the Rfam family "Bacterial small subunit ribosomal RNA", at positions 157 to 724 of the family's 1533-position model. The record is from RNAcentral.